CCGAGUGUAGCUCAGUUGGUAGAGCGAUUGACUGUAGUGUUCUAUACUGUGUUUCAGUAUUCUCGGAAAUCAAUUGGUCGCUGGGUCGAUUCCGGCCACUCGGA
Transfer RNA from Phytophthora infestans T30-4, 104 nucleotides. It matches the Rfam family "tRNA". From Rfam's summary of the family: Transfer RNA (tRNA) molecules are approximately 80 nucleotides in length. Their secondary structure includes four short double-helical elements and three loops (D, anti-codon, and T loops). The record is from Rfam. NCBI's taxonomy places the organism in Eukaryota, Oomycota, Peronosporomycetes, Peronosporales, Peronosporaceae.